RNAcentral lists this ribosomal RNA (468 nucleotides) under uncultured bacterium. RNAcentral describes it as "partial 16S ribosomal RNA". It matches the Rfam family "Bacterial small subunit ribosomal RNA", at positions 28 to 507 of the family's 1533-position model. The record is from RNAcentral.
GACGAACGCUGGCGGCGUGCUUAACACAUGCAAGUCGAACGGAAAGGCCCUGCUUUUGUGGGGUGCUCGAGUGGCGAACGGGUGAGUAACACGUGAGUAACCUGCCCUUGACUUUGGGAUAACUUCAGGAAACUGGGGCUAAUACCGGAUAGGAGCUCCUGCUGCAUGGUGGGGGUUGGAAAGUUUCGGCGGUUGGGGAUGGACUCGCGGCUUAUCAGCUUGUUGGUGGGGUAGUGGCUUACCAAGGCUUUGACGGGUAGCCGGCCUGAGAGGGUGACCGGCCAAAUUGGGACUGAGAUACGGGCCAGACUCCUACGGGAGGGAGCAGUGGGGAAUAUUGCACAAUGGGCGGAAGCCUGAUGCAGCAACGCCGCGUGCGGGAUGACGGCCUUCGGGUUGUAAACCGCUUUCGCCUGUGACGAAGCGUGAGUGACGGUAAUGGGUAAAGAAGAAACGGCUAAAUACGUG